CGUCCCACAGCAUCCCACAGCGUCCCACAGCAUCCCACAGCGUCCCACAGCAUCCCACAGCGUCCCACAGCGUCCCACAGCAUCCCACAGCGUCCCACAGCAUCCCACAGCAGUGUCAGGUGACUUUCAGUGAAGGUUAUGACACAAUGACAGUGUGAUGAUAACAAAGAGAAGCAUGAGUCAUUAUCUCGUCAUUACUUGGACUUUAUUGUUGAUUUUAGCACUUCACACUAGCAUUAGCUGGUUUCCCUCCUUUGGAGUAAACUACCAAUCAGACAGCACAUCUGAGCUGCUGUCACACAGUCAGAUACAGGAAAGCAUGACAGCAACAACACGCUCAAAGCUGAACAUCAUUUGCAUGUUAAGAAUUUUACUGCAAGAAAGAAAUAGUGCAAAGCUGAACAUAGUGAGUUUGCUUUAUGUAUGAUAAAGUCCUGUUGACAAAUCCAGUGCAUGAAUGUGAAUGACCUGUGAAAUAAAGUGUGCGUGCCGUGUUCAGUCUGACGUGAAACAUCAGAAUCUCUGUCUUCAUUUUACUGAUUUCCUCUUUCAUUGCCAGCAUGUGUGCUCAGAGGCUUUCACAGUGCAUUAUAAGCACGUCGUGGCUUUGUGUCCCUCGCUCUGCAUCAUUAGAACAUUAACAGACCAACAAAUAUAAGUUUGUCAUACUUUAUCGAUGAAAUCUGGGAGAAUAUAAAUAACAUCUGUAGCAGAAGCAGUGUGUCACUCUUGGUCUUGCAAGACAAUUUUGCGUCCAGUUGUUAAUUCUUGAACAAUGUGCACCAAUCUCUUACAAAAGAUGUGGUUUGCUAUGGUUCUCUGACCCAACCUGGUUACUAAAGUACUGAAAACGAGGAGACAACAUUACAACAACGUGCCAAAUAAGCUAGGUCCAUCAUGUGAUCUGCCAAAGUUUAAGGCGUGGAUUUUGGUACGACUUCUAAAGGUCUGUGUUUCCGCAACCAAGACGUUGCUUCAGGCCGUCUACAUCCUGUGGUUCUGAACUUCGGAUGGACAAAUGGCAGCAGCCGUUUAUCAGAAGCACCCAGACUGCUCUUGGCGAUGGUCUGACUCAGUCCUCGGGCCACGACCUCCCCUGUAAGCGUUGUUUGGUGUUUCCACCUGCACGUGUCCUUUGCUUCCAGCAAAAUGAUUGUGACAGCGGGGCAUUCAGCAUCCAGCAGAUGUUAUAUCUGCAAUAUGCAGCCGCAGUUUUUCACAGUUACCUGCCUGCUAUACCCAAGAGACGUGAUGAUUUAUGGUGUCGGCCCUGUUAUCACAGAAUGGGCCACGUGACCAGUUAAAGUGGUGACAAACUGUUGGCUCUGUCGAAACGAAAAGUAGUUAUUGGGGCUAAAAAAGCAUUUACAGCCUAUUAACCCGAGAACGCUAUCGCUGGGUGAUUUACACCCGAGCAAAUACAUUUACAUGAUUUCUCUCUCCUGCAGCUGUUUGCGUGUCGAGGAGCCUGUGCCUUCACCAGGGAAGUCUCAAAUGUCCCAGGAAUGGGUGGACCAAAGACCAGCUUUCCAGAGUCAUUCUUUUGUUUUAGGAGGGUUUUUCUUUCAUUUUGUUAGACAUGGCACAGUUGAAAGUAAAAGAAGACCACUCUAAUUUGUCAUGUGUUGUCAUAUUUUGAUAUAUUUGAUUACUUUUUAUUGGUUAUAUUAUAUCGGGUAAAAAUCACCCGGCAUUAGCGAUUGUGUUACUAUUUAUAGCGAUAGUGUUCUAGGGUUAAACGUGCAAGAGAGCUGAUGCAGUCUCCAGCGAGUCCAUCAUCAGCUGGGCUGAUUCAUGACCAGAACGUCCCAAGUGUGAAGUCAGUGAAUCAGUGCUGGCCUGGUGCUGAACAACGUGAGGCUGAAGGGACUGUGGAGACAUCAGCACAUCACAUUUUACAUUGGUUUUAUUAUAAUGUGCUUCUAGUGAGGACAAAAGCACAGACACCAACCUCCUGAUCUGCGGAGCAGUGGUGGUAGAGGAACUUCGUCUCAGCGUCUUAGUAGAAGAAGGGGUGAGGUGGACUUUGGAGGGCUUCGGGGGAGGGAGGAUGGAGCGGUGUGAAGUCUUGGACAGGUUUAACCUGACACAGAAAACAAGAACACCUCAUAUUUGUGUGUGUGUGUGAUCCAAGAGCAAAUAAAACUUGAUCCUUCACAGAAACAAGCACAACGAACAACUUCUCCAAAAAUCCUUCUGAUUUCUACGCUCACUGCAGGAAUCAACAUCUGCACUCACACUCUGUACAAGAGACGAGAUACAAACACGCUUCGACGUGUGGGAGGUACCUGAUUUAACCUCCGUGGAAGCCCAGCUCUUGGUUGUGUCAGGUUAGCAGUUUGGUGAUGUUAGUUUACAGGAGAAGCCGGAGGCACGUCGUGAGUUUGGUUCGUGGUCGUCCUUUGGUUUCUUUUUGCCGCAGCUCUCAUAUCCCCGAUUUGUAACUAUUUACUUUUUAUAAGAUGUUUCUUGAACUAUGGCAGCUUCUUAUAUAUCUGCUAUAUUUGUGCCGUGGAUUCAGGGACCCAAACAAAAACUGUAGUGAGCAGAGGUAUUAUCUACUGAUUGUGUGUCUGGCUGCAGCCAAGGAUGGAGAGCAGAGGCAGCGGGCAGGCCAAUCGAAACGCAGCUCAGGCCGCGGCUGCAGCAAAAACUUGGGCGUAGGAGGAGCGAUUCUGGCAAAGCGUCAGGAGGGGAAGUGGUGCUCCACCAACACGGUGUACAGUAAAGAUGGAGGCCUGCUGGCUCCAGCUGAGGACACCGUCAGGCAGUAGAAGGAAUACUCUGACAACCUCCAGAACCUUAAUCUCACUCAUAACUAAAGUCGCCAAAAGACAACAACUUCUCCUGUUGCAUUUAGGUUUCAGUUUAACCGAAGAACAAAGAAGGACACAUGAGCUCGAGCAGGUUACACACAACAUUCACGCUGCACAGAUGAGAACACAGCAGGAUUUCAUGCAGUCCGGUCUGCCUGUUAGACAGCGUGCAAACAAAGCGUGCGUUCUUUGUAGCAUUCGACAACAGUCACUUACGUACUUUCUGACAUCCACAAAAACAUAUUGGUGUCUAUUAUCUCUCCUUGUUAAUAGAAACUUUGUUUCCAGCGUUUGAGCUAAUUCUCUACGUGUCUCUUGCACUGACCACAAUAACCAUCUAUCAUUAAUUACAUUACAGAUGUUGGUACCUUGAGCAGGAUGACGCUGAUCUCGGUGGGCGUUUUCCCUUCAGUGCUCUCAGUUUGUCUCCCUGUGUCAGACUGACUUCUUUGCAGUUAUUCUGCACAGACACAAUUAGCAGCAUGAAAACACAACAUUGUGAUCGGAACUCAGUAGCCUGUUUGAAUUCUGCAGUAACCAUUAAGAAAAGGUGCUAUGAAGUCACACCGCUGACCUCAUCCAAGCUAUAUGACUUGCAGAGCACGGUGUUGAUUGACAGGUCAUCCAUGCUGGAAAGCAGCGAGGACACUGCCUCCUGUUUGCCUCCCUGCACAGAGUCAGAGUGGUGCAGCUGCUGCUGCAGCUGCUGCAGCUGAUGCUGCUGCAGCUGCUGCUGCCGACUCAGUCUCUGUUGGACCAGCUUCUGUUUAGACCGAUGCACGUCACCCUGAACCCACAAACUGUGCUGCUUCCUGCACACAAACAUCAAACACACGCCACAAACUGACUGUGAUAUCACGUUUAGCAGGUACAACAUUCAACAUCCUGGUUUAGCGUGUAAGUAGACACACAAAGCUAGUAGCCAUUAGCAACAGAGCGCUACUGUGGCGUAAGGAGGAAGUGUGCGUCCAGAGCUGAGGAGAGAAACCAGCUGCACACUGUGACUGCAGUCUGCAGCAGUAUCACAGUUUCAGGCUUUUUUUAAAUUCGAUUCGAUUCAUCAUCCACCAGUUUCCCACUGCUGCAGUCACCACCAGCUGCACAUGGGCACCCUGGGGAAUGCCCCACCCUGACCUCCACCUUUUGCUUCUCUUCUAACAUUUCCAGCAUGCUCCAACCAUGACCUCAGCAUGGA
Molecule: long non-coding RNA, 4011 nt
Organism: Astatotilapia calliptera (eastern happy)
Lineage: Eukaryota; Metazoa; Chordata; Actinopteri; Cichliformes; Cichlidae
Source: Ensembl